GGACACUUUUUAUACACUUUCUGGGCAACAAUCGAAUCACCCACUGGGGUAGAAACUAGGAUAGGCUCAGGAAUAAUCUCAGGACUCAUUUCAAAAUUCACAGCAAUCAAAGGUGUAACAUAUGAGAAAUUGGAUCCAGGAUCCAACAAAGCAUACACAUCAAACUAAAAUAUACGAAGCAUACCAGUAACAAAAUUGGGAGAGU
RNAcentral lists this long non-coding RNA (205 nucleotides) under Capsicum annuum. Its description in RNAcentral is "long non-coding RNA (CANN_LNC014215)". The record is from RNAcentral. Lineage: Eukaryota; Viridiplantae; Streptophyta; Magnoliopsida; Solanales; Solanaceae.